RNAcentral lists this long non-coding RNA (498 nucleotides) under Equus asinus (donkey). RNAcentral's name for it is "lncRNA (ENSEASG00005032207.1)". Lineage: Eukaryota; Metazoa; Chordata; Mammalia; Perissodactyla; Equidae. The record is from RNAcentral.
AUCAACCAUUUUUUUGUGCAGACACAGCCCUGCAUCUCCAGGAGUGAAUUGGAUCACUCCGGGAAGUGUUCCAAGUGCACAGAGGGGGCCAGGCCGUAAGGAGGCAGGAAGUUACUCUCUGCCUGUCUACAAGCAAGAGAGGAGGGGACUCCUGAGAAAGAAGACAGAAGAUAGUCACCAUCAAAGAAAAGAAAUGAGGCCUCCAACUUUACAUGACUCUUUGGACGGGUCAGGAGACUCAGAAAGCAUAAGUGAAUUGAUACUUUCCAUUUUUUGCCUCUGAUGUCCUAAAACUGUUCUCUGUGUCAAGGGAAACACCACAGUGAGCAAUUGGAACAUACAGGACAUCAGGUCUAGCUUUGAUGUUCUCUUCCUUGAAGUCAGCAGAACAAUGGAUAAUAGUGGAUUCAUUCAGGGAAUCGUAAGCAAAUGAACAGAACAGCCUAGGAUUAACAGAGCAACGGACAUGCACAAGACAAUCAGCAAAAUCUAGAAAAC